UGAGGAAUAUUGGUCAAUGGACGAGAGUCUGAACCAGCCAAGUAGCGUGAAGGAUGACUGCCCUAUGGGUUGUAAACUUCUUUUAUAUGGGAAUAAAGUGGUCCACGUGUGGAUUUUUGUAUGUACCAUAUGAAUAAGGAUCGGCUAACUCCGUGCCAGCAGCCGCGGUAAUACGGAGGAUCCGAGCGUUAUCCGGAUUUAUUGGGUUUAAAGGGAGCGUAGGUGGACAGUUAAGUCAGUUGUGAAAGUUUGCGGCUCAACCGUAAAAUUGCAGUUGAUACUGGCUGUCUUGAGUACAGUAGAGGUGGGCGGAAUUCGUGGUGUAGCGGUGAAAUGCUUAGAUAUCACGAAGAACUCCGAUUGCGAAGGCAGCUCACUGGACUGCAACUGACACUGAUGCUCGAAAGUGUGGGUAUCAAACAGGAUUAGAUACCCUGGUAGUCCACACAGUAAACGAUGAAUACUCGCUGUUUGCGAUAUACAGUAAGCGGCCAAGCGAAAGCAUUAAGUAUUCCACCUGGGGAGUACGCCGGCAACGGUGAAACUCAAAGGAAUUGACGGGGGCCCGCACAAGCGGAGGAACAUGUGGUUUAAUUCGAUGAUACGCGAGGAACCUUACCCGGGCUUAAAUUGCAGAUGAAUUACGGUGAAAGCCGUAAGCCGCAAGGCAUCUGUGAAGGUGCUGCAUGGUUGUCGUCAGCUCGUGCCGUGAGGUGUCGGCUUAAGUGCCAUAACGAGCGCAACCCUUGUUGUCAGUUACUAACAGGUUCCGCUGAGGACUCUGACAAGACUGCCAUCGUAAGAUGUGAGGAAGGUGGGGAUGACGUCAAAUCAGCACGGCCCUUACGUCCGGGGCUACACACGUGUUACAAUGGGGGGUACAGAGGGCCGCUACCACGCGAGUGGAUGCCAAUCCCCAAAACCUCUCUCAGUUCGGACUGGAGUCUGCAACCCGACUCCACGAAGCUGGAUUCGCUAGUAAUCGCGCAUCAGCCACGGCGCGGUGAAUACGUUCCC
RNAcentral lists this ribosomal RNA (1017 nucleotides) under uncultured bacterium. RNAcentral describes it as "bacterial SSU rRNA". It matches the Rfam family "Bacterial small subunit ribosomal RNA", at positions 355 to 1375 of the family's 1533-position model. The record is from RNAcentral.